GCCGGCGCGGGUGGAGGCCCAGGCGCAAUUUGGAGCCUCAGAGGUUACGCAGUCGCGCCCUCUCGGAGACCCUGGGCUCCAGGCCGCUCGGCUCCAGGAUCAUCACCGUUACGCGCCUGGAUGCUGCGGCGACGGGUCAGGUCUCAGGGCCGUGACAGGACUGAAGUGCCUUAGAAGACGGAUCUCGGCCCCUCCCGGACCAGUGCGGAGCAGCAGAUUGGCCUGUCCUGGACGUUCCUGGAAGUGGAAUCAUACAACACGUGGUCUUUUCCAACUGGCUCCUUUCUGUCGGCAUCAUGUCUUCAAGGAUCAUGUGUAUUGUGGCAGGUGUCAGAGCCUUGCUCCUUCAUACGGCUGAUGGACGUCCCGCUGCCCGGAUGGACCACCUUCCGUGAUCCAGUCGUCUGUUGAGCGACACCGGUUUGUUCCCGGCGUUUGGUCACUGGGAAUCACGCUGCUGGGAACGUUCACACACAAGUUUUCGUGUGAACACGUUUCCUUUCUCUUGGGCAUGUAUCUGGCACGGGAAUUGUUGGGUCACACGGCAACUCCAUGUUUAGCCUUUCAGGAAGAAUCUUUUUGAAGGUUGAA
Molecule: long non-coding RNA, 591 nt
Organism: Mustela erminea (ermine)
Lineage: Eukaryota; Metazoa; Chordata; Mammalia; Carnivora; Mustelidae
Exons: 2
Source: RefSeq, a predicted model, not a curated record